RNAcentral lists this ribosomal RNA (305 nucleotides) under uncultured bacterium. RNAcentral's name for it is "bacterial SSU rRNA". It matches the Rfam family "Bacterial small subunit ribosomal RNA", at positions 333 to 652 of the family's 1533-position model. The record is from RNAcentral.
CGUGGCCUACGGGGGGCAGCAGUGGGGAAUAUUGGGCAAUGGGCGCAAGCCUGACCCAGCAACGCCGCGUGAAGGAAGAAGGCUUUCGGGUUGUAAACUUCUUUUGUCAGGGACGAAGCAAGUGACGGUACCUGACGAAUAAGCCACGGCUAACUACGUGCCAGCAGCCGCGGUAAAACGUAGGGUGCAAGCGUUGUCCGGAAUUACUGGGUGUAAAGGGAGCGCAGGCGGAUUGACAAGUUGGGAGUGAAAACUACGGGCUCAACCCGUAACCUGCUUUCAAAACUGUCAGUCUUGAGUGGGGU